AGAGAACAUCACCACCCUGAAGCCAGAGACUAACACUGCAGGACUCAGCAGGACUAUUUAAGAAACAACUGAGGCAUCAGACCAACCUUCCCCACAAGUCCUCGGAUCUUUCCUGCCAUGCUGAUGCCACAUAUUCCAAUGUGAUCAACCUGGCCCCCCAGAAGGAGGAUGACUUUGCUGUCUACGCCAACAUGCCCCCUUUUCAUCACCCCAGGAGGACAUUACCAGACCAAGUGAAAUAUGCCUCCAUUGUAUUCCACUGAUGGGAAGCUAAUGAGAUGCUCAGAGUGGGGGUUAGACCUGGCCCCAGCUGAAUCUUGGCAUACCCUUUGCUUUAGAUUUAUGUGUGUGUU
This is an RNA transcript of Nomascus leucogenys (northern white-cheeked gibbon), 353 nucleotides long. It is a transcript of the gene named regulator of hemoglobinization and erythroid cell expansion, with no coding region annotated. Lineage: Eukaryota; Metazoa; Chordata; Mammalia; Primates; Hylobatidae. The record is from RefSeq and is a predicted model, not a curated record.